This is a long non-coding RNA of Frankliniella occidentalis (western flower thrips), 359 nucleotides long. RefSeq lists it as uncharacterized. NCBI's taxonomy places the organism in Eukaryota, Metazoa, Arthropoda, Insecta, Thysanoptera, Thripidae. The transcript is spliced from 2 exons. The record is from RefSeq and is a predicted model, not a curated record.
GAAAAAAGGGGACGGCGCAGAUCACCCAUUUCGAUUCUGUAUAACGGGCAUAACGGAAGAUGGGCGCCUGCGAGACUCGGGAUAGGCCAUCCCGCGGCACACGCAUGCGCUGAAGGCAAGAUGUUGCCUACCUAUCAGGCGCUAUGGGAGCUGCGAGGCCACGCCGUACUCACCUCUUACCGGCGUGGGCUCGUCGACGUGCACCAGGACGUGCCCGGUCACCGUCUCUCCCGCGUAGUACGUGGGCUGCGGCCGGUCGAACCUGACCCGGAGGUUGAUGGGCAUGGCGGCGGAGAGUAGGGCUGCACUGCAGGGCGGACUCUUCUUGUGUUCGGGUGGUUCGGCACUCGCCGGCUAAA